This 216-nucleotide unclassified non-coding RNA is filed under the name Hevea brasiliensis (rubber tree). Lineage: Eukaryota; Viridiplantae; Streptophyta; Magnoliopsida; Malpighiales; Euphorbiaceae. The record is from RNAcentral.
AAAAAAAAUUACAAUAUUAAUUUCAACUAAAUAUUACAUAAACUUUUUUUAAUCAAAAUAAACAUUAUACAAAUAAUGUAGGAUUCACAAUUUUAAUAAAUGUCUUGCAAUCUGCAUGUACUUCCACUUAUAUAGCAACUCAAAUUUCAUGUUUUGAGUUCAUAUCCAUCUUUUGUUGUAUGAGACCAUUCAGAAAAUUCUUAUACCAUAUCGCAG